This is a non-coding RNA of Equus caballus (horse), 9510 nucleotides long. NCBI's taxonomy places the organism in Eukaryota, Metazoa, Chordata, Mammalia, Perissodactyla, Equidae. The record is from RefSeq and is a predicted model, not a curated record.
CUGGGAUCCAAACCCAUGAACCUGGGCCACCAAAGUGGAGUAUGCCAAACUUAACCACUAUGCCACUGGGCUGGCCCCAUGGUUUCUUCUUUUUGAAACAUCUCUUUCACACUUUAGAUUCUAGGACCUUUUCUCUUCCAAGAAAGCCAGGUUUGAUGUUCCUAGCUACAACUGAAGAACAACAGCUUUACCCUUCUCUGGCUUUUGAAAUUCCUUUCUGAUGGGAGGAUAGUGUGAUGGGUUGAAUUGCGUCCCUCUAAAAUUCCUAUGUUAAAGUCCUAACCCUCAGUACCUCAGAAAGUGACUGUAUUUGAGGACGGAGCCUUUAAAGAGAUAAUUAAGGUAAAAUGAGGUGGUAUGAGUGAACCCUAAUGCAAUAUGACUGAUGUCCUUAUAAGAAGAGGAGAUUAGGACAGAGGGACAAACAUGUGAGGACAUAGCAAGAAGAAGAGAGGUCUCAGAAGCAAACAAAUCUACUGACACCUUGGUCUUGGACUUCCAGCCUCCAGAACUGUGAGAAAACUAAUUUCUGUUGUUUAAGCACCCAGUCUGUGGAGUUUUGUAAUGGCAGCCCUAGCAGACUCCUACAUGUAGAAUGGUCCUCAGAUGGUCUUGAAACAGGAGAUACUGUGCUCAAGGUGCUCUCUGGAGAAGCCUGAGUCAGAGAAAGAGCCCUCAUUACUAAACCACUUAGGGUCUCAUGUUUGUAAGGGUCAGUAGAGGGACAAGAGCACUGGCAACUUUGAAGUCACCCUCUCUAGAGAGUCUUCCGUCUUAAAUAUCUUUCUCCAGAGGUCUGAAAUGAUGUCAUCAGCAGUUCAUAUGGAGGUCUUGAAGCCUUUUUUUAGUGUUCAACAUCUCAUGGUAAAAUAAGAAUAUACCAGAUGACUGGGAUGCCGUUGAUAGACUGUGGAUGCCGGACGUGGGUUUUGGGAAGGAUUCCAGCAAAGGAGCAGUGAAGGAGAGGAUGGAAAGGCAGAGAUCAUCAGGUCCUUCCCUCUCAGCUCUGCCCAGGGCCAGCCUCGAAACGCCUUGCACCGGGCUUACAGGAAGAAGGGUGGAGUUUUGCUUCUUCUUUGGUGGUGCCUCCUUCCCAAACGUGAGGCUCUCCAUGGGCACAGGGCUGUGGUGAUUGCUUCAUGGUGCAAUGGUUGAGACAGCUGUCCUUCAAGACCCUUCUUUUGGCCUUUUAGUUGCUGCAACAUUUUGAUCAGAAAUUUCUGCUUUAAGUGUAAAGGAUGUGGUGCAAUUGGGGAAGGAAGUGUGGAGAACAAUCAAAACAAAACACCCCGGCCAUAGUUCAGUAAAAUAGAACACAUUCCUGCCCCCUGCCCUCCACCAGAGUGUUUAACUUUUCCUCUUUUUUUCUUAGCUCUGACGCUAGUGUGGUGUAGAUUAUAACUCUGGUAUUUUUGUUUGUCAUCAUUUUCCUUGAACAUGAAUACAAAGAAGACUUCAACAGCAGUAGAGUAAACUGAGUAGCCUGUAGCAAUGCUUUUGUAUUUGAAGUCAGAUUAAAUUUGUCCUCCAAAAAGGUUUCUGCUCCUUCUCCCUCUCCCUCUGCUUCCUUCCCUGGACUCCUGCCCCCAGCACUGCAGCCUGUCCCCACACCUCCAGGAUGUUAGCAGUUUUUAGGGAACAAGAUUUGCUCCCUUCUUUUCAUGAGAUUGUUGAAGACUGAAAAAAACCCUUAAGACUCCUCAAAAUGAAUUUCUGACCAGUGGGGCAGAUUUUAUGAGGCAGGAGACCCUCCCACAGUUUCCAGUAGGUCAGUCUCUAUAAUGAAUGAGAGUUCUGCAUGUGAAUGAAGUAGAGGAUGCUGAGGGAAGAAUCAGGAUGAUUCCAUAUGGACAAAUGGAAAUAGAGAUAGACUCCUGGAAAAAUAAGAAAUAGGCAUCACACUUUAUUCUGGGUCAAAUAGAAUAUUACAUAUUCUAGGAAAGAAAUGAUCUAGCUAAUUAUUUUUAAACCAUUUCACUUACAAAGUUCCAUUUUAUCUGAGUGAUAGUCAUUUCUUUUUUUCUCUUUCUAAGUGUGGAAGCGGAAUGUAUAUCAAUGUAUGGCCCCUAGCAGGAGAGUGGUCACAUGGGAGGGUGUGAAAAAUGCCUAUUCUGGCUGCAGUGUGUGUGCUCGUGGGUGGGAGAGAAAUAACCAUUAACGAUGUGGAGGAAAACAAAUACCUUGACUAAAUUUCGUGUCAUUCUUUGUGAUGUUGCAAUUCUCUUUAAAUAAAUAACUAGAACACUUCCCAAAAGAAACUGAAUGUACGUUGUGAAGGAUAAUUAAGACUGUAGAUCAAACGCAAAAACGACACUUUGGAAGAAAAUAUUUUUAGAAUUUGCACCACGCUCCUUUCAAUCUCUGGCCCAAAUGACAAAGAUGAUUUUGUAAAUGCGUUCAUGUGGGCCUAACAACUUGUUGGAAAGCCUGCCUGAGUUGGAUGGAUAUAAUAACAGAACUGCAAAUUAUACCCUUACACAAGAAUACAAAGGUAAGUCUAUCUUCAGGGGGAUCUGGCCAAGGUGAGUCCAUUGCAUAUUCUUAUUUAGAUAGUUUCCUCUGUAGCAUGUCCUGGACACUAUCAUAAAGUAGAUCAAUACAGAGUAGAUUGUGUUUUCUCGAUAGAAACAACGUUAGAAUUGAAAUUUGAAACAAAUAAGCUAUUGAUGUGGUCAAUAGUAUGUUAUAAAAGCAAACACAAAGUAUUCAAAUAAGUAAGCAUAUUUUCUAAAUCUUAAUAAAAUAGAUGUAAAUAUAGCAUACAUAUUGAUUGCAGAAGAGAUGAUCAUAUAAAGAUAUACUUUUAUUGUAUCAAAAACUUACCUGCUAAUGAGAAUUAAACAUUUUAUUAAGAGCUGAAUUUGUUACAUAGAAAUUGAGAAAGUCCCUUUUGGAUGCCUUAGAUCUCUUCAAAAAUAACUACAAGCAAUCUUCUGCAGAAAAUGACUUUUUCCCCCUGCUUAUUAUACGUUCUAUAGCAAGCAAUAACAUUUAAAUCAUUCCAGUGACCUUAGCAUGACCCUUCAGUGAUACUCAAAACACACGUUGUCGGGAAGGUGGGCAGUUUCUUGUCUACUAAAAGGUUUUUCUUUUAAAAGUAAAUGACAAAACUAAUACAUGCUCAUGCAUACAAUUUAAAAUAUGCAAAUAAGCGGAAAAAAGAAAAGUAACACCUCAUAAUUUUAUAUCUCAGCGAUAAUCAUUGUUUCCUAAUGUGUAUCUUCACACUAAACAUUGUAGCAACCAAAUUUUUCCUAUACCCAUCAGCGAAAAAAAAAAGUCUCACUGAGUAUUCAUAGCAUCAUUUAAAAUAGAUGUAUAUUAUUUUGUUCUAUACAGCAUACUUUAUUUAACGAACCCCCAUUUCUAGACAUUUCAGUUGCUUUCAUUGUUUUUUCCAUUGUGCUUGUAGCAGCCACACCUGUGGCUUCAUGGAGUAUUUGCUUCGUUCGGGAAAGGGGGAGGAAGCUUGAGUCUGGUUUACAGAUGUCUCUGCUGACACCAGUUGGACAUGGACCACUGAGGUCCCAGCAGAGCCAUAUUCCCUGUGGUUGGAGGAUAAGGGAGAUCCUCCCAGUGGACAGCACUUUGAACAGUCCACCUUGUGGUCCAUUUUGCCUGGAAGGAGAGAAGACCUGAGGACUGACAGCAAGGAGGUUUGGGAAGAGUCAGGUGGGUGAUACUCUUGAACUAGGCUUCAGAAUGUGUCCCUCAUGAGUGCUGCCCAAGGAGCAUCUACUCCAGAGGCGAGUCUCUGUAAAACAGUGGAUAUGGUGAGCUGCUCUGUGGAUGUCCCUCAGCCUUCUCCCCAGCUACGCCAGUGCUUGCCUGAUGUUUUGUGAACAAAGUAGGAUUCAGGGCUGGAGGCUGUACAUGCAUUCAACAACAAAAUGUCUUCUUACAAAGACUGGCUUGGUCAUUGGCCCCUUUGAGUGCCAAGUUUUCUAAGCAAUGCCCAAUCCUGAACAUUUCAUAUGGUACCACACCUCAAGUGAGGUGUGGACGGAUUAGCCACCUGUUUGGACCCCUUCUGACCCAGCAGCACCAACUGUGGAAUACUGAACUACCAGGACCUGGGUCACUUUUUGGAAACAAUAGCAGGGCUCAGCGAAUGGGGCAGCUUGGCUUUCUAGAAGGAGUUAUUUGUUGUCCCGACUGAUUCUGCUCCAGAGAACCAUCCACAAAGCACUUGAGACUGUGAAGAAUCCACGAUAGGUUCCUCCACCAUUCUCUAGGUCUUUUGAACUACGUGAACUGGUGAUAACCUUUGACCGGUAGGACUAAGAGAUGAGUGUUCACCAUCAUCUCCUAUGGGUUUCUAUUCAUUCUCAUCCGGGUCUACCUAUGUGGGAACGACCAUGUCUUGCUAUAGAGCAUUGAGUGGUGAAUUGUAAAGGUGUUUUAGGCUAUACAUAUGCUCUUCCUCAAAGAAGAGGCUUGGAGGGCAGAGAAUCCAGUUGGUUCUAUGGAAGACUUUGCUUAUCUUUAAUACGCCCUACACAAUGCUGGUUCUUUUGCAUAAUAUUAACUUGUUAAUCCGGGGAAUGAUUACAUAGUCUGUGCCUUAAAAUUUUUUUUAUUUAUUAAAUUUUUAUUAAAAUAGGUAUGUCAUAAAGUUUACCAUUUUAACAAUUUUUAAGUGUACAGUUCUGUGGCAGUAAGUCUGUGGCUUUUUGCCUCUAAACUUGAAUCCACCUCUGUUUUCUAUGGAUACUCCAUUCUCUCCAAUGCCAUGACCAUAUUUCCUGACUGCCAAGAGGCUAUUAACUGUAAAACAAACCACUAUAUUAGUAGCAAUAUUUUAUUAAAAAGGAUAUUUCUGGCAUUUCCUUGGAUGUCAGUUAUAAACCAUAUUAAUAUUUCAGAAAUAUCAGGUAGAAAAUGUGCAUCAGAGAAUUGAGGGAACAUUUAGCUUCUCUGUGUCCUGUGGCAGUGGCAGGAAUUAACAAAAACUAGUUCUGAAGGGAGAGUCACUUUCUGUAUGAUGUCCAUGACGAUCAAGCUGGAAACCUAUAGCUUAUUGGGCAGUCCCAGGAGCACCAUGACACUGCCUGGACAGGAGACCUCUGAAAUAAAAUGUAUGUUUAGGAUUGUAGAGAAUAACAGGGUGUCAUGAGAACCUCAGAAAAUAAUUUUAUUAAAGACUAAAUCACCACCACCAAGGAAAAGGUUUUAAUAUUUACUGAGCAUCUGCUAUCUGCUGAGAAAUUUACAUACAUUUCUCAUUUUUACCUCAGUGCAAUCUUGGGAGGUAGAUACAGAGGAAAGUAGGUAGAUUUUCAGAGGCAGAUAAGCAGACUCAGAGUGUUUAAGUAAUUGCCAAGAUCGGAUGCCUGGCAAGUAGUGAAGCUGGGGUUUGACACUUGGUCUGUGGACUCCACUGCCUGUGUCCUUCUCCAUCACACCAGUUACCUACUGUGCUUCGGCCACGCCACACCAUGAUGGAAACAACUGAACUCCCUAGUCUCCUUCUAGCCUUGAAGUUUCAGUAUGCUCUCCUUCUUCAUGACACCCUCCUGGUCCCCAUUGCCUAUGGAAUCUUGUGUUGGCUGAUCACAUACUACUUUGUGAUGCGUUUCUAUUUUUUAAUCCAUAUUUAAAACUUUGUUAUUUAGUAUUUUAAAUAUUUAUGUCCUUUCUCUUUAGUAGAUGCUAAGUCCCGAGAGGGAACUGACUUUGAUUGUUGUAUCUCCCACAGCAUUUUACAAAUUGUUGAUGCUCAAUUACUAUCUAUUGACUCGAUUUUAAUGAGUGUUAUGGAGAUGUUUUCUGCUAUAGUUGAUCUGAAAUAAAAGUCAUAGUCAAGAUCAUUUGAAGGCUUUCAGAUUACAGCCCACCUCCAUCAAGGAAACGUCGCUUACCAUACAGACGACCUUACUGUUUAUACGUCAGAGUCUUAACGUUUUUAACAUUUCAGAAGACUAAUACCGACCAAUUUCCAUGCGGAAAUAUCCAGCAAGAUCAAACGGGGGUAGGAAAACAAAAGCUAAUUUCAUUCAGAAGAUUCUGUCUUCUCUCAGCCUUGGUGGUUAUUUCCUGCUUGAGUCACUUCCCCUGAGAGGGUGACACUGGACAGCAGCCUCGAAAGCCGGUUCUGGCGUCUGCUGCAUACUGUGUCCAUUCCUGUGCUGCCCGCAGACUAUGAAACCCUCAAUCACCAUGGUGAAUUUCCACUUGGAAGAUCUGUUGUCCUGUCUUCACUGUGAUGUCUUGGCAUCACUCGAGGUGUGAAAUGGCUCUGCGCCACAUGGAGAAAGAGCAAAAUGUCACUUCCGAGGUUUGUGACAAAAUUUCGUGAUAGAUUCUUCGGGUGGAGUGAGAGGCCUUUCUCACUGCUGUGACACUGCUGCUGAGGUGGAAAAGCUGAAGAGCAGAUUAUUCAGUUUCUACACUGAGCCCUGCUCGACAUGAUGCUAAAACAUGGUGUUUUUUGGACCCAGGUUUUCACUGAUAACAAAAAGGAAGGUCAGUAGCAGUGCACCUCCAUUUGAAUCUUUGGACUCCCUGCACCAACUUCUCUCUAGAUUAAGACCAGGAAGCUGGUUUACAGCCAUCAUAAUCUGCAAAGAGGUCUCUGCCAGGGCAGCAAGCAUCCAUUUCUUUCUUCCAGUACAUCAGACAGUGGACGGGAAAAGAUGAGCUUUCAAAGGGUCAGUUUUCUUCUACCAUUACAAAGUUUAGUGCCUUAAAAAAAAAAAUCAACAGAACUGGGAAAUCUCACUUUGGGAGACAGCCUGGCCCUUCUUCAUAACCCGUUCCUCCAAGCAAACUUGAUUUGCUUAUUAAAAUAGGCAUGAAGAAGCUCUUCCGUGAAGCUUCCUUUUCCACCUGAUGUGUACGAAGGUUUCAAGAACUUGGCUGCACUCCCCCAGCAGCUUGCUGUGUCCAUGCUGAGAUCCCAUGAAGAAGCCUGGUCCAUAAGCUCCCGGAAUUUGUGUUUUCCACCCUCUCACCUGGAAUGCUGAAACAGCAAAGUCUUCUCUUGGCGGCCGUGAGAGAAUGCGGCAGUUGGUGAGAUGGGCACUGAGCCUAUUUGAAGACCCACUUGCAAGCUGGGCACUGACUGCAAAUGCUGCAAUUAAAAGCAAAACAAAACAAAACCAUCCUACAGACCAAAUGCCUUUUAGCAGGGAAAAAGCUAUGCUGUGUUAAAAUAAUGGGAUGGUGUUUUUCUGCGGGGGUGAUCCUGGUUUCCAAGAAAGGGUGAUAUUUGUGAAGAUCGUAAUGUCUAUUCUCCAGGUCUUAGCUCUGAUAGUACUCUCUCCUCCUCCUCACUGAAAGUUAAGAAUGAAGGGGGCAUGAAUAAUCAGGGGUAACAAUGUACGGGAUAGAGUAAUCAUAAACGAAGACUGGAAGAGUAAUUUUUAAUCUAGGCUUGUCAAAAUAACUGUGUCUACAUUUACUGAUUAUGUUGAUUAAACAAUGAUUAAGGGUUGUGCUAAAUCAUGCUGGAACAAUGCAGACUUAAAAAAAUUUUUAGUAAAUUAAGAGAAACUGUGAUUAGGUCUUUGAUUGUAAGCCAUCCUCUUGGAUGACAGUGCAUUCAGGACUUCUGUGAAUGGGAAAGGAGAGAGAAGGGAGAGGUGGUGGAGGAGGUGGGAAGCUGCACAGGACCAGAUCAUUCAGGGCCUGAAGGUCAUUACUAGGAGGUGGGAUUGUAUUCUAAGUGUAAUAAGAAGUUGGGGGUGUGUUUUACACUGGGGAGUGUUCACAAGAUCUGAUUUGUGCUUUUAGAAGCUUACUCUGGCUGCCCUGGGGUACAGCCAUAUUGGAUCCAGAGGGAGAAUGAAGAUCCCAUUCUCAUUCUGGUCAGGUAGCUGGCGAAAGGCCUGAUUCCCAAGUGACGCUGGCAACAAAUGGAAACAACUCAGGCAUGAAAGCAGCAGGACAGCACUGUGGCAAGAGGUUUCCACCGUGCUCAUUUCUUCCCGACUUGCUAAUGCAGCCAGAAUCAAAGGAAAUCUAACAUGUAAAAAGACUAUUUUGAAGUUUUAUUUAAAGACAAGCCAUGCUUAGGAACAGGUUUGAAAAACUUAAAAAUGUGAUGAUAAAUGUCAGGCUUGCCAUGCUUAGGCGGCUGGCACGCAACUAUGCUGAACAGACUCCCAACCGAAGGUUCCCUUGCAGGCUUCUCAAUACUGCUUCUCAAGGCUAAGCCCACCCUGAAGAGGAGUCAAAAGGGACUUGGCUCCAGAAGGACCAUCUGGGGUUUGAAGUCCACCCCUCUCCCUCCCCAUUGAGGCAGACUUCCUCCACUUGUGGGCCACGCCCCUUUCAUCCAGGGGGUCGGCAUCUCUUCCCCUGUAGCCCCGCCUCUUCGAGGCGUGGAUGCACUGUGCCCUUUUGCAGUUCACUGUGCAGAUGGCAGACAGGCAGCUCAUCUCUGUCAGCUGAUUUUCAGUGUGAACUUUCUUUAUUAUGGAGAGGAGAUUUCAAGGUACAGAUUACAUGCAAUCCUUCUUAUCCUCCUUUGUUUGGAGUCAGUUAGUGAUUAAGAAGUCCCUCAUUUUGCCCCUCUGCCUUAGCUGAAGGAAGCCAGGGUGCACGCUGGUAACCCCUCUGCAUGUGUCUGCCUAACUGACCUCUUCCUUUCUGUUCCAUCCUGGGUUCCGCCCUCCAGAGCUGGACUGGAGCAGUUCUGCUGACCUGUUUGUGCUUCUGAGCUUUCUGGAGAAGCAAAGUCCAUUUAGGUGUGGCCAUAGGCUUAUCUCUUUAGCUGCAGGCUGGGGUGACUUUUCUUGAAGCUGUGUGAACCUCUAGGCUGUUAGCAGGCUCUUGAUUUUGCCCUCAGGCCUGGCCAGGCUCACAUUUUCUUUGCCACAGUCUCCCUGGCCUGUCCUGCUCGCUUGUGUCUCCUGUCUCAAUGCGCACAAUCUCUUCUCUAGCAAGGCCUUAGCUUUCUAGUCUGGCUUUCUCUGUUGAACCUCAUCUCUCUUUACAAGACUCAUCAUGUAACCUUCUAGACACAGGUUAGCAUGCCCUUUCCUGUCAUUUUUUACCUCUUGAGCCCUGGGACUUGAUAAAUGUGAAACAAACUUCCUCUCAUGUCAUAUCCCAGGGCCUCUAUGCAAUAAAUUUUAUAACUUUAAUAGAUUUUGGAAAUUCAACUCAGUUAUUUUAAAGGUCAUCUCUGUGGAGUUUUAUUAAUUAAAUUUCUUUUAAAGUUUUUUGAAAAGUUAAUAUUUCUGUUUCAAAAUUUCUCCCUCUAUAUGCAACUUUCUAAGUAUCGGGACCCCCUGAAUUUAUUAACCUAUCUCUCUAAAAAUCUAUUGCUUUUCUUAAAGAGUAUUGUGCUAUGUAUAUCUAAAGUGAAAUGGUUUUUAUAAAAAGCACUCAGAAUAUUUUUAAAUGUACAUUUUGGACUUUAAGCUGGGAUGCGUCAAAUCUUUUUGCACUUAAAAGUAAUUAUAGUUCUAAUUUUUAAAAGAGGUAAACUCUAGGGCUGGCCCCGUGGCCGAGUGGUUAAGUUCGCGUGCUCCGCUGCAGGCGGCCCAGUGUUUCGUCGGUUCA